UACGUAGGGUGCGAGCGUUAAUCGGAAUUACUGGGCGUAAAGCGUGCGCAGGCGGUUCGUUGUGUCCGUCGUGAAAGCCCCGGGCUUAACCUGGGAACUGCGAUGGAAACUAGCGAGCUGGAGUGUGGCAGAGGGGGGUGGAAUUCCGCGUGUAGCAGUGAAAUGCGUAGAGAUGCGGAGGAACACCGAUGGCGAAGGCAGCUCGCUGGGACGUCACUGACGCUGAGACGCGAAAGCGUGGGGAGCAAACAGG
This 253-nucleotide ribosomal RNA is filed under the name uncultured bacterium. RNAcentral describes it as "partial 16S ribosomal RNA". It matches the Rfam family "Bacterial small subunit ribosomal RNA", at positions 524 to 776 of the family's 1533-position model. The record is from RNAcentral.